GAUGAACGCUGGCUACAGGCUUAACACAUGCAAGUCGAGGGGAAACGACGGGGAAGCUUGCUUCCCCGGGCGUCGACCGGCGCACGGGUGAGUAACGCGUAUCCAACCUGCCUCUGACUGAGGGAUAACCCGUCGAAAGUCGGCCUAAUACCUCAUGGUAUCGUCUGCGGGCAUCCAACGACGAUUAAAGAUUUCAUCGGUCAGGGAUGGGGAUGCGUCUGAUUAGCUUGUUGGCGGGGUAACGGCCCACCAAGGCUACGAUCAGUAGGGGUUCUGAGAGGAAGGUCCCCCACAUUGGAACUGGGACACGGUCCAAACACCUACGGGAGGCAGCAGUGAGGAAUAUUGGUCAAUGGGCGAGAGCCUGAACCAGCCAAGUAGCGUGCAGGAAGACGGCCCUAUGGGUUGUAAACUGCUUUUAUGCGGGGAUAAAGUGAGGGACGUGUCCCUCAUUGCAGGUACCGCAUGAAUAAGGACCGGCUAAUUCCGUG
Molecule: ribosomal RNA, 491 nt
Filed under: uncultured bacterium
Lineage: Bacteria
Description: partial 16S ribosomal RNA
Rfam family: Bacterial small subunit ribosomal RNA
Source: RNAcentral